CUAGUUACACAAGCGCCAGAGCUUGAAGUUGCGCGGGAAGGAUUUUGAUCGGUACGAAUCUUGAAGUAUAAGAGACUACUGAGCAGGAUCGACGGCAAUCAAGCUGACGAGGUGGAGGUGUUCGGAUUGUUCGGCGGGGACCUCCCGGUGAUGCACCAGAGCCGUAAACCGGAUUGCGGAAAAUGGAUGGGUGACUGUCCACACAACGCGCCGGUAGGUGCAA
Molecule: non-coding RNA, 223 nt
Filed under: Paenibacillus sp.
Lineage: Bacteria; Bacillati; Bacillota; Bacilli; Caryophanales; Paenibacillaceae
Description: GlcN6P sequence
Rfam family: glmS glucosamine-6-phosphate activated ribozyme aptamer
About the family: This entry contains a glucosamine-6-phosphate activated ribozyme that is found in the mRNA for GlmS. GlmS is an enzyme that uses fructose-6-phosphate and glutamine to generate glucosamine-6-phosphate.
Source: RNAcentral